This 2636-nucleotide long non-coding RNA is filed under the name Oncorhynchus mykiss (rainbow trout). RNAcentral describes it as "lncRNA (ENSOMYG00000056658.1)". Lineage: Eukaryota; Metazoa; Chordata; Actinopteri; Salmoniformes; Salmonidae. The record is from RNAcentral.
UUGCUGUGGAGGGUGCCGGGUAGUUGACAUGGGGUAGGGGUAGUGAGGUGGAAAGCAUGGCCAGCCGUAGAGAAAUGCUUAUUGAAAUUCUCAAUUAUAGUGGAUUUGUCGGUUGCAACAGUGUUACCUAGCCUCAGAGCAGUGGGUAGCUGGGAGGAGGUGCUCUUGUUCUCCAUGGACUUUACAGUGUCCCAGAACUUUUUUGAGUUUGUACUGCAGGAUGCACAUUUCUGUUUAAAAAAGCUAGCCUUAGCUUUCCUAACUGCCUGUGUAUAUUGGUUCCUAACCUCCCUGAAAAGUUGCAUAUCACGGGGGCUAUUCGAUGCUAAUGCAGAACGCCACAGGAUGUUUUUGUGCUGGUCAAGGGCAGACAGGUCUGGAGUGAACCAUAUAUCCUCCAAACAUCAUAUUUUCUCUGGCACUAUCACUUAAUUGUCACACUAAAACAAACACACUGUGAUUAUUUCAGUAAACUACAGCCACAGGUCUGAGUCUCUUAAUGUCUACAGAUUAAACUACAUCCACAGGUCUGAGUCUCUUAAUGUCUACAGAGUAAACUACAUCCACAGGUCUGAGUCUCUUAACAUCUACAGAUUAAACUACAUCCACAGGUCUGAGUCUCUUAACGUCUACAGAUUAACCUACAUCCACAGGUCUGAGUCUCUUAAUGUCUACAGAUUAACCUACAUCCACAGGUCUGAGUCUCUUAAUGUCUACAGAUUAAACUACAGCCACAGGUCUGAGUCUCUUAAUGUCUACAGAUUAACCUACAGCCACAGGUCUGAGUCUCUUAAUGUCUACAGAUUAAACUACAUCCACAGGUCUGAGUCUCUUAACAUCUACAGAGUAAACUACAGCCACAGGUCUGAGUCUCUUAACGUCUACAGAUUAAACUACAGCCACAGGUCUGAGUCUCUUAACAUCUACAGAUUAAACUACAUCCACAGGUCUGAGUCUCUUAACAUCUACAGAUUAAACUACAGCCACAGGUCUGAGUCUCUUAAUGUCUACAGAUUAAUCUACAUCCACAGGUCUGAGUCUCUUAACGUCUACAGAUUAAACUACAUCCACAGGUCUGAGUCUCUUAAUGUCUACAGAUUAAUCUACAUCCACAGGUCUGAGUCUCUUAACAUCUACAGAUUAAACUACAGCCACAGGUCUGAGUCUCUUAACGUCUACAGAUUAAACUACAUCCACAGGUCUGAGUCUCUUAACAUCUACAGAUUAAACUACAGCCACAGGUCUGAGUCUCUUAACGUCUACAGAUUAAACUACAUCCACAGGUCUGAGUCUCUUAAUGUCUACAGAUUAAACUACAUCCACAGGUCUGAGUCUCUUAAUGUCUACAGAUUAACCUACAUCCACAGGUCUGAGUCUCUUAAUGUCUACAGAGUAAACUACAGCCACAGGUCUGAGUCUCUUAACAUCUACAGAUUAAACUACAUCCACAGGUCUGAGUCUCUUAACAUCUACAGAUUAAACUACAGCCACAGGUCUGAGUCUCUUAAUGUCUACAGAUUAACCUACAUCCACAGGUCUGAGUCUCUUAACGUCUACAGAUUAAACUACAGCCACAGGUCUGAGUCUCUUAAUGUCUACAGAUUAAUCUACAUCCACAGGUCUGAGUCUCUUAACAUCUACAGAUUAAACUACAUCCACAGGUCUGAGUCUCUUAAUGUCUACAGAGUAAACUACAGCCACAGGUCUGAGUCUCUUAAUGUCUACAGAUUAAUCUACAUCCACAGGUCUGAGUCUCUUAACAUCUACAGAUUAAACUACAUCCACAGGUCUGAGUCUCUUAAUGUCUACAGAUUAAUCUACAUCCACAGGUCUGAGUCUCUUAACAUCUACAGAUUAAACUACAGCCACAGGUCUGAGUCUCUUAAUGUCUACAGAUUAAACUACAGCCACAGGUCUGAGUCUCUUAAUGUCUACAGAGUAAACUACAUCCACAGGUCUGAGUCUCUUAACAUCUACAGAUUAAACUACAUCCACAGGUCUGAGUCUCUUAAUGUCUACAGAGUAAACUACAGCCACAGGUCUGAGUCUCUUAACGUCUACAGAUUAAACUACAGCCACAGGUCUGAGUCUCUUAAUGUCUACAGAUUAAUCUACAUCCACAGGUCUGAGUCUCUUAACGUCUACAGAUUAAACUACAUCCACAGGUCUGAGUCUCUUAAUGUCUACAGAUUAAUCUACAUCCACAGGUCUGAGUCUCUUAAUGUCUACAGAUUAACCUACAUCCACAGGUCUGAGUCUCUUAACGUCUACAGAUUAAACUACAUCCACAGGUCUGAUAUUAUAUUUUUUCCAUGGAAAAAAUGAAAACACGAAGCAGACCUUUUCUUUGGUCCUUUACAAACGUGCUGUAUGUAAAAUAUUGUGUGUAAUAGCUUGGAAAAUAACCUAUCUGGGCUAGGGGGCAGUAGUAAACAAGAAAACAAACUAAUGUGACUGGAUGACAACAUAAUGAUGUUUUGUUUCCAACAUCAGAGCUGUUUUCCUAAAGAAGUUAAAUCUGCUUUGUGUUUUGUUUCCUUGCCACGAUACUAAUGUGUAUCGCGAUAUACAGCAGAGCACCCACAAUACCUGUCUGUUGUCUCACUAAAACACAGACACAGGAGAGAGUUCUGUCU